Molecule: long non-coding RNA, 991 nt
Filed under: Mus spicilegus (steppe mouse)
Lineage: Eukaryota; Metazoa; Chordata; Mammalia; Rodentia; Muridae
Description: lncRNA (ENSMSIG00000022791.1)
Source: RNAcentral
AUUCCAAGGGCCAGGUUUUCUUGGAUCAAAGUCCAACUGCAGGAAGGAACAUGUCUAUACCAAAAGGCAAGCAAAUGGUUGGAAAUAAAAGUGGUUCUGAGGAUGGGGCCUGUAGCUGAUGGUACGUGGACCAUCUUGUCACCGCACCAAGCCUCCAUCUCCACAGCCUACACCGUCCUUGCCAAAUGGCCAAGAUCUCCAUACCCCAGGUCCUAGCAACUCUGAUCACACCUCACCGACUUCAGCAAAGUCCUGUGAUUCCUCCACACCUAUGAUGAACCUACCAGCUUCACACCCAUGAUGAGAUCUGAAAGUCAGGCUUCUUAUCAAUCAGGUGCUGGGCAGAAAUGGAAGUUGAUGAUGAUGCACCUGCCCAUCUUUCUCCAAGUUCCUCUGACAGCUGUCCCAGAAGAGCAUCAAAACACGGAUGACCUGGGAGUCUACACCCUAGGCGACCUUGAGUUCAGUGAACUGUUGGCUAAGGAGAGUUCCUUAGGACACCUGGCUGCCUGUUUCAGUAAAGGGACAGGGGAUGGAAAGUUUUGGAGGUGGAGCAUCUUUUCCAUAUCUACUGCUACUUUGAGUGUCUUCUUAUUUUCAGGCAAUGACCCUGGCAGCUCAUACAUACAGGCUAGCAUGACAUAUGCCAUGUUUUUUUGGGUGACUCUGGUUGGUGACAUGAACUGCUUCUGCCAAGCGAUCAAGAGGAGAAACUGUUGAAAACCCUUGCUGUGUGUGAGAUUUGGUCUGCUUUUCUCUGGAAUCUUGGAAGCCCUGUCUGUGUGGAAACACAUCCCAGGAAGCAGAGACAACUGGGUGUAGCAAGAAUGUAAAUUAGAGCAAGAUGCAUCAAAGAAAACAUAUCUUCAGACUCGUGUGGGUUUCUUUUUAAUUGGAAUUUAUAAUUGCACCUAAUUAUAGGACAUAUUUUACAUGUUCCCUUUGAGAGGCUGAGAGGGGGUGGAGCCCUGUCCACUCCAGUCACAGGAGC